GGUUAAGCGACUAAGCGUACACGGUGGAUGCCCUGGCAGUCAGAGGCGAUGAAGGACGUGCUAAUCUGCGAUAAGCGUCGGUAAGGUGAUAUGAACCGUUAUAACCGGCGAUUUCCGAAUGGGGAAACCCAGUGUGUUUCGACACACUAUCAUUAACUGAAUCCAUAGGUUAAUGAGGCGAACCGGGGGAACUGAAACAUCUAAGUACCCCGAGGAAAAGAAAUCAACCGAGAUUCCCCCAGUAGCGGCGAGCGAACGGGGAGCAGCCCAGAGCCUGAAUCAGUGUGUGUGUUAGUGGAAGCGUCUGGAAAGGCGCGCGAUACAGGGUGACAGCCCCGUACACAAAAAUGCACAUGCUGUGAGCUCGAUGAGUAGGGCGGGACACGUGGUAUCCUGUCUGAAUAUGGGGGGACCAUCCUCCAAGGCUAAAUACUCCUGACUGACCGAUAGUGAACCAGUACCGUGAGGGAAAGGCGAAAAGAACCCCGGCGAGGGGAGUGAAAAAGAACCUGAAACCGUGUACGUACAAGCAGUGGGAGCACGCUUAGGCGUGUGACUGCGUACCUUUUGUAUAAUGGGUCAGCGACUUAUAUUCUGUAGCAAGGUUAACCGAAUAGGGGAGCCGAAGGGAAACCGAGUCUUAACUGGGCGUUAAGUUGCAGGGUAUAGACCCGAAACCCGGUGAUCUAGCCAUGGGCAGGUUGAAGGUUGGGUAACGCUAACUGGAGGACCGAACCGACUAAUGUUGAAAAAUUAGCGGAUGACUUGUGGCUGGGGGUGAAAGGCCAAUCAAACCGGGAGAUAGCUGGUUCUCCCCGAAAGCUAUUUAGGUAGCGCCUCGUGAAUUCAUCUCCGGGGGUAGAGCACUGUUUCGGCAAGGGGGUCAUCCCGACUUACCAACCCGAUGCAAACUGCGAAUACCGGAGAAUGUUAUCACGGGAGACACACGGCGGGUGCUAACGUCCGUCGUGAAGAGGGAAACAACCCAGACCGCCAGCUAAGGUCCCAAAGUCAUGGUUAAGUGGGAAACGAUGUGGGAAGGCCCAGACAGCCAGGAUGUUGGCUUAGAAGCAGCCAUCAUUUAAAGAAAGCGUAAUAGCUCACUGGUCGAGUCGGCCUGCGCGGAAGAUGUAACGGGGCUAAACCAUGCACCGAAGCUGCGGCAGCGACGCUUAUGCGUUGUUGGGUAGGGGAGCGUUCUGUAAGCCUGCGAAGGUGUGCUGUGAGGCAUGCUGGAGGUAUCAGAAGUGCGAAUGCUGACAUAAGUAACGAUAAAGCGGGUGAAAAGCCCGCUCGCCGGAAGACCAAGGGUUCCUGUCCAACGUUAAUCGGGGCAGGGUGAGUCGACCCCUAAGGCGAGGCCGAAAGGCGUAGUCGAUGGGAAACAGGUUAAUAUUCCUGUACUUGGUGUUACUGCGAAGGGGGGACGGAGAAGGCUAUGUUGGCCGGGCGACGGUUGUCCCGGUUUAAGCGUGUAGGCUGGUUUUCCAGGCAAAUCCGGAAAAUCAAGGCUGAGGCGUGAUGACGAGGCACUACGGUGCUGAAGCAACAAAUGCCCUGCUUCCAGGAAAAGCCUCUAAGCAUCAGGUAACAUCAAAUCGUACCCCAAACCGACACAGGUGGUCAGGUAGAGAAUACCAAGGCGCUUGAGAGAACUCGGGUGAAGGAACUAGGCAAAAUGGUGCCGUAACUUCGGGAGAAGGCACGCUGAUAUGUAGGUGAAGUCCCUCGCGGAUGGAGCUGAAAUCAGUCGAAGAUACCAGCUGGCUGCAACUGUUUAUUAAAAACACAGCACUGUGCAAACACGAAAGUGGACGUAUACGGUGUGACGCCUGCCCGGUGCCGGAAGGUUAAUUGAUGGGGUUAGCCGCAAGGCGAAGCUCUUGAUCGAAGCCCCGGUAAACGGCGGCCGUAACUAUAACGGUCCUAAGGUAGCGAAAUUCCUUGUCGGGUAAGUUCCGACCUGCACGAAUGGCGUAAUGAUGGCCAGGCUGUCUCCACCCGAGACUCAGUGAAAUUGAACUCGCUGUGAAGAUGCAGUGUACCCGCGGCAAGACGGAAAGACCCCGUGAACCUUUACUAUAGCUUGACACUGAACAUUGAGCCUUGAUGUGUAGGAUAGGUGGGAGGCUUUGAAGUGUGGACGCCAGUCUGCAUGGAGCCGACCUUGAAAUACCACCCUUUAAUGUUUGAUGUUCUAACGUUGACCCGUAAUCCGGGUUGCGGACAGUGUCUGGUGGGUAGUUUGACUGGGGCGGUCUCCUCCUAAAGAGUAACGGAGGAGCACGAAGGUUGGCUAAUCCUGGUCGGACAUCAGGAGGUUAGUGCAAUGGCAUAAGCCAGCUUGACUGCGAGCGUGACGGCGCGAGCAGGUGCGAAAGCAGGUCAUAGUGAUCCGGUGGUUCUGAAUGGAAGGGCCAUCGCUCAACGGAUAAAAGGUACUCCGGGGAUAACAGGCUGAUACCGCCCAAGAGUUCAUAUCGACGGCGGUGUUUGGCACCUCGAUGUCGGCUCAUCACAUCCUGGGGCUGAAGUAGGUCCCAAGGGUAUGGCUGUUCGCCAUUUAAAGUGGUACGCGAGCUGGGUUUAGAACGUCGUGAGACAGUUCGGUCCCUAUCUGCCGUGGGCGCUGGAGAACUGAGGGGGGCUGCUCCUAGUACGAGAGGACCGGAGUGGACGCAUCACUGGUGUUCGGGUUGUCAUGCCAAUGGCACUGCCCGGUAGCUAAAUGCGGAAGAGAUAAGUGCUGAAAGCAUCUAAGCACGAAACUUGCCCCGAGAUGAGUUCUCCCUGACUCCUUGAGAGUCCUGAAGGAACGUUGAAGACGACGACGUUGAUAGGCCGGGUGUGUAAGCGCAGCGAUGCGUUGAGCUAACCGGUACUAAUGAACCGUGAGGCUUAACCUU
RNAcentral lists this ribosomal RNA (2906 nucleotides) under Escherichia coli. RNAcentral describes it as "23S ribosomal RNA". It matches the Rfam family "Bacterial large subunit ribosomal RNA". Lineage: Bacteria; Pseudomonadati; Pseudomonadota; Gammaproteobacteria; Enterobacterales; Enterobacteriaceae. The record is from RNAcentral.